CGAGCGCUUAUUUUUAAUAGGAGCGGCAGACGGGUGAGUAACGCGUGGGAAUCUACCUUUUUCUACGGGAUAACGCACGAAACGUGUGCUAAUACCGUAUACGCCCUGAGAAGGGGAAAGAUUUAUUGGAGAGAGAUGAGCCCGCGUUAGAUUAGCUAGUUGGUGGGGUAAAUGCCUACCAAGGCUACGAUCUAUAGCUGGUCUGAGAGGACGAUCAGCCACACUGGGACUGAGACACGGCCCAGACUCCUACGGGAGGCAGCAGUGGGGAAUAUUGGACAAUGGGGGCAACCCUGAUCCAGCCAUGCCGCGUGAGUGAAGAAGGCCUUAGGGUUGUAAAGCUCUUUCGCCGGAAAGAUAAUGACGGUAUCCGGAGAAGAAGCCCUGUGCCAGCCCA
This 397-nucleotide ribosomal RNA is filed under the name Candidatus Liberibacter solanacearum. RNAcentral's name for it is "bacterial SSU rRNA". It matches the Rfam family "Bacterial small subunit ribosomal RNA", at positions 63 to 505 of the family's 1533-position model. The record is from RNAcentral. Lineage: Bacteria; Pseudomonadati; Pseudomonadota; Alphaproteobacteria; Hyphomicrobiales; Rhizobiaceae.